UCCGUAGGUGAACCUGCGGAGGGAUCAUUACACAAAUAUGAAGGCGGGCUGGAACCUCUCGGGGUUACAGCCUUGCUGAAUUAUUCACCCUUGACUUUUGCGUACUUCUUGUUUCCUUGGUGGGUUCGCCCACCACUAGGACAAACAUAAACCUUUUGUAAUUGCAAUCAGCGUCAGUAACAAAUUAAUAAUUACAACUUUCAACAACGGAUCUCUUGGUUCUGGCAUCGAUGAAGAACGCAGCGAAAUGCGAUAAGUAGUGUGAAUUGCAGAAUUCAGUGAAUCAUCGAAUCUUUGAACGCACAUUGCGCCCUUUGGUAUUCCAAAGGGCAUGCCUGUUCGAGCGUCAUUUGUACCCUCAAGCUUUGCUUGGUGUUGGGCGUCUUGUCUCUAGCUUUGCUGGAGACUCGCCUUAAAGUAAUUGGCAGCCGGCCUACUGGUUUCGGAGCGCAGCACAAGUCGCACUCUCUAUCAGCAAAGGUCUAGCAUCCAUUAAGCCUUUUUUUCAACUUUUGACCUCGGAUCAGGUAGGGAUACCCGCUGAACUUAAGCAUAUCAAUAAGCGGAGGA
This 570-nucleotide ribosomal RNA is filed under the name uncultured Alternaria. RNAcentral's name for it is "eukaryotic LSU rRNA". The stretch from base 196 to 349 matches the Rfam family "5.8S ribosomal RNA". Lineage: Eukaryota; Fungi; Ascomycota; Dothideomycetes; Pleosporales; Pleosporaceae. The record is from RNAcentral.